Molecule: long non-coding RNA, 612 nt
Organism: Suricata suricatta (meerkat)
Lineage: Eukaryota; Metazoa; Chordata; Mammalia; Carnivora; Herpestidae
Exons: 4
Source: RefSeq, a predicted model, not a curated record
GAUUACAGGGUCAUAUGGUGGCUCAGCAUUGGGGGACACAGUGGACACUAAAACAUAAUUCUUCGCUGCCUGCCUGCUUGAUUGAAAAUGUCUCCUGCCCUCUUGGCCUGGAAAAUGGAAGGACAGAGAGAAAUUAGGUUCAACCCAUCUGGUUGAGACCAGGGACCGACAGUUCUGAGAAAAAAGCUGUUGCACCGUGACGGGCUGUACCUCUUGUGUCUAAAGCUCAAGUCCAACUCGUUCUAUCUCUGUCGCCGGUUUGAGACACUCUGCAAUGGCUUCAACAUGAAGUCUCAGCUCAAAGGCAUAGAAACUGGCAUCCAGAGAAACUGACUAGCUUGUCUACACCUACUAAGUGAAGGAGCCAGGACCUGGACAUGAGCCAGCUGAUUCCAAAACGAGUGCUCUUCAGCACUAUGCCCAUGGUUCUCUCUUUGUCCUCACUUUCUACAGGCUCCCCAUUCUCCAAAGACUGAAGGAAAUUCCAUCCCCUUCCAGAUAUCUGCGGUCUUCCCUGGCCUUCCCUAAUCUGACUUACUUCCUCUCACCUGUUAGCACCUCUCAGGCCAUUCUGAGAUACGCAUUCAUUCAUGCAACAAAUAUUAAACACCC